Molecule: ribosomal RNA, 440 nt
Filed under: Veillonella parvula
Lineage: Bacteria; Bacillati; Bacillota; Negativicutes; Veillonellales; Veillonellaceae
Description: bacterial SSU rRNA
Rfam family: Bacterial small subunit ribosomal RNA
Source: RNAcentral
GGCGGCGUGCUUAACACAUGCAAGUCGAACGAAGAGCGAUGGAAGCUUGCUUCUAUCAAUCUUAUGGCGAACGGGUGAGUAACGCGUAAUCAACCUGCCCUCAGAGGGGGAUAACAGUUGGAAACGACUGCUAAUACCGCAUACGAUCUAAUCUCGGCAUCGAGGAUAGAUGAAAGGUGGCCUCUACAUGUAAGCUAUCACUGAAGGAGGGGAUUGCGUCUGAUUAGCUAGUUGGAGGGGUAACGGCCCACCAAGGCGAUGAUCAGUAGCCGGUCUGAGAGGAUGAACGGCCACAUUGGGAUGAGACACGGCCCAGACUCCUACGGGAGGCAGCAGUGGGGAAUCUUCCGCAAUGGACGAAAGUCUGACGGAGCAACGCCGCGUGAGUGAUGACGGCCUUCGGGUUGUAAAGCUCUGUUAAUCGGGACGAAAGGCCUUUC